GCGAUACAGGGUGACAGCCCCGUACACAAAAAUGCACAUGCUGUGAGCUCGAUGAGUAGGGCGGGACACGUGGUAUCCUGUCUGAAUAUGGGGGGACCAUCCUCCAAGGCUAAAUACUCCUGACUGACCGAUAGUGAACCAGUACCGUGAGGGAAAGGCGAAAAGAACCCCGGCGAGGGGAGUGAAAAAGAACCUGAAACCGUGUACGUACAAGCAGUGGGAGCCUCUUAAUGGGGUGACUGCGUACCUUUUGUAUAAUGGGUCAGCGACUUAUAUUCUGUAGCAAGGUUAACCGAAUAGGGGAGCCGAAGGGAAACCGAGUCUUAACUGGGCGUUAAGUUGCAGGGUAUAGACCCGAAACCCGGUGAUCUAGCCAUGGGCAGGUUGAAGGUUGGGUAACACUAACUGGAGGACCGAACCGACUAAUGUUGAAAAAUUAGCGGAUGACUUGUGGCUGGGGGUGAAAGGCCAAUCAAACCGGGAGAUAGCUGGUUCUCCCCGAAAGCUAUUUAGGUAGCGCCUCGUGAAUUCAUCUCCGGGGGUAGAGCACUGUUUCGGCAAGGGGGUCAUCCCGACUUACCAACCCGAUGCAAACUGCGAAUACCGGAGAAUGUUAUCACGGGAGACACACGGCGGGUGCUAACGUCCGUCGUGAAGAGGGAAACAACCCAGACCGCCAGCUAAGGUCCCAAAGUCAUGGUUAAGUGGGAAACGAUGUGGGAAGGCCCAGACAGCCAGGAUGUUGGCUUAGAAGCAGCCAUCAUUUAAAGAAAGCGUAAUAGCUCACUGGUCGAGUCGGCCUGCGCGGAAGAUGUAACGGGGCUAAACCAUGCACCGAAGCUGCGGCAGCGACGCUUAUGCGUUGUUGGGUAGGGGAGCG
RNAcentral lists this ribosomal RNA (880 nucleotides) under Escherichia coli. Its description in RNAcentral is "partial 23S ribosomal RNA". It matches the Rfam family "Bacterial large subunit ribosomal RNA", at positions 354 to 1238 of the family's 2925-position model. The record is from RNAcentral. Lineage: Bacteria; Pseudomonadati; Pseudomonadota; Gammaproteobacteria; Enterobacterales; Enterobacteriaceae. RNAcentral also lists the same sequence under 1 other name.